GACGAACGCUGGCGGCGUGCUUAACACAUGCAAGUCGAACGAAAAGAGGGAAAGAGCUUGCUCUUUCCGGAAUUGAGUGGCAAACGGGUGAGUAACACGUAAACAACCUGCCUUCAGGAUGGGGACAACAGACGGAAACGACUGCUAAUACCGAAUAAGUUCCAAGAGCCGCAUGGCCCAUGGAAGAAAAGGUGGCCUCUACCUGUAAGCUAUCGCCUGAAGAGGGGUUUGCGUCUGAUUAGCUGGUUGGAGGGGUAACGGCCCACCAAGGCGACGAUCAGUAGCCGGUCUGAGAGGAUGAACGGCCACACUGGAACUGAGACACGGUCCAGACUCCUACGGGAGGCAGCAGUGGGGAAUCUUCCGCAAUGGGCGAAAGCCUGACGGAGCAACGCCGCGUGAGUGAUGACGGCCUUCGGGUUGUAAAACUCUGUGAUCCGGGACGAAAAGGCAGAGUGCGAAGAACAAACUGCAUUGACGGUACCGGAAAAGCAAGCCACGCA
RNAcentral lists this ribosomal RNA (503 nucleotides) under Dialister invisus. Its description in RNAcentral is "bacterial SSU rRNA". It matches the Rfam family "Bacterial small subunit ribosomal RNA", at positions 28 to 497 of the family's 1533-position model. The record is from RNAcentral. Lineage: Bacteria; Bacillati; Bacillota; Negativicutes; Veillonellales; Veillonellaceae.